GAUGAAGAACGUAGCGAAAUGCGAUACUUGGUGUGAAUUGCAGAAUCCCGUGAACCAUCGAGUCUUUGAACGCAAGUUGCGCCUGAAGCCACUAGGCCGAGGGCACGCCUGCCUGGGCGUCACACGUCGUUGCCCCCCCCCAUCUACUCCUUCGGGAUUGCGGGGGGCGGAUGAUGGCCUCCCGUGCGCCUAGCCGCGCGGUUGGCAUAAAUACCAAGUCCUCGGCGACGCACGCCACGACAAUCGGUGGUUGCGAAACCUCGGUUGCCCGUCGUGUGCGUUCGUCGCGCAUCGAGGGCUCGAAAAAAUGCUCGGCUCCGGCUCGGCUUUCAACGCGACCCCAGGUCAGGCGGGGUUACCCGCUGAAUUUAAGCAUAUCAAUAAGCGGAGGA
RNAcentral lists this unclassified non-coding RNA (392 nucleotides) under soil metagenome. RNAcentral's name for it is "partial contains 5.8S ribosomal RNA, internal transcribed spacer 2, and large subunit ribosomal RNA". The stretch from base 1 to 122 matches the Rfam family "5.8S ribosomal RNA", at positions 35 to 154 of the family's 154-position model. The record is from RNAcentral.